UGACUGUCAGGCCACCUUAAGCCACAGUACGGAAGAAGCUGUGCUGCCUGUGAGCCCCGUCCAAGGACGUUAAAAGAAGAAGUCAGGCCCCAAAGCCACGGUUUGAGCAAACCGUGCUGCCUGUAGCUCCGUCGUGGGGACGUAAAAACCUGGGAGGCUGCAAACUGUGGAAGCUGUACGCACAGUGUAGCAGACUAGUGGUUAGAGGAGACCCCUCCCAUGACACAACGCAGCAGCGGGGCCCGAGCACUGAGGGAAGCUGUACCUCCU
Molecule: long non-coding RNA, 270 nt
Filed under: dengue virus type 3
Lineage: Riboviria; Orthornavirae; Kitrinoviricota; Flasuviricetes; Amarillovirales; Flaviviridae
Description: partial sfRNA1
Rfam family: Flavivirus DB element (bases 153-224)
Source: RNAcentral